AGGUAGCAUCCAAAAGAUAAGAUGCCUACCCGAUACAGUCUUCCUAGAGUAUAAUUGUCAUUUCCUGCUUAUGGUAUUGUAAGCAAGUUCUGUAAGUCUCAAGUGACAAGAAAGCUUC
Molecule: non-coding RNA, 118 nt
Organism: Triticum aestivum (bread wheat)
Lineage: Eukaryota; Viridiplantae; Streptophyta; Magnoliopsida; Poales; Poaceae
Source: Rfam